AGUGAACGCUGGCGGUAGGCCUAACACAUGCAAGUCGAACGGCAGCACAGUAAGAGCUUGCUCUUACGGGUGGCGAGAGGCGGACGGGUGAGGAAUACAUCGGAAUCUACUUUUUCGUGGGGGAUAACGUAGGGAAACUUACGCUAAUACCGCAUACGACCUACGGGUGAAAGCAGGGGAUCUUCGGACCUUGCGCGAUUGAAUGAGCCGAUGUCGGAUUAGCUAGUUGGCGGGGUAAAGGCCCACCAAGGCGACGAUCCGUAGCUGGUCUGAGAGGAUGAUCAGCCAAACUGGAACUGAGACACGGUCCAGACUCCUACGGGAGGCAGCAGUGGGGAAUAUUGGACAAUGGGCGCAAGCCUGAUCCAGCCAUACCGCGUGGGUGAAGAAGGCCUUCGGGUUGUAAAGCCCUUUUGUUGGGAAAGAAAAGCAGCAGGUUAAUACCCCGCUGUUCUGACGGUACCCAAAGAAUAAGCACCGGCUAACUUCGUG
Molecule: ribosomal RNA, 492 nt
Filed under: uncultured bacterium
Lineage: Bacteria
Description: partial 16S ribosomal RNA
Rfam family: Bacterial small subunit ribosomal RNA
Source: RNAcentral